UGGUGGCUGGAAGGCUGAAGAGUGGAGUCAUCUGAAGGGCACUCAUUCAUGUGCCUGGCGGUGGAUGUUGACUGUUGGCUGGCACCAGCAUGGGGCUGGGGCUGAAACACCCACGUGUGGCCCUUCCACGUAGUUGCUUAUCUUCCCCACAAUAUGGCAGCUGGGUUCCAGAAUCUGAGUCAAGACAGUCGCAAAGCAUUGCCCUGGUGCAAGGAGAGAGAACGUAGACUCUAUCUCUUGACAGUCAAAUAGCAAGUUUUGCAAGAACAGAUGAGACUGGAAAUACUAACGUGGCCAUUUCUGGGAGAUACAGCCUGCCCCACUAAGUCCUCUCCUUUCUGCCAUUGUACCAUAUAUGAGCAGAGCAAAUGUGGAAAAUUACCCAGAUCCUCUUGGCUUCCCAUAUGAAUAAUUUUUUUUUAGAUCCUUCAGGCACCUCUGGCUGGAACUCAUGAAAUAAAUGAACUACAAUUAAUUAUGGUUACACGAAAUGAAUGUGCCAUCCCUCACAUAAGUGGAAAUAUUUGUAUGGAGCUGCAAAGGAUGUGUAAGAUUUCUACAGGCAGAGGAAACAGAACAAACAAAGGCCCAGAUGCUUGAAGUUGCUGGGCACAUUCAAGGAUAGGAAGAAGGUCAUGGAACUGUAGUCCUCCAAAAUAGCCUAAUUUGUCAAAAGAAGAAACAUGCUGCAGGUGUUUACAAGAUGAAAAGACUGGAAAAGUUGCAACUGCCAGUUUCCAUGGAACUGUUGCCUGGGGACGUCCUGUCACCACAACAUCUUGUGACCAGAUAAAUGAUUCUGUUGAUUGUUGUUUCUUUUUAAGCUCUGGCUAUAUAACCACCCCGCCCCAUCCCCAAGGUGGGCUCACAGUUUUGAAGGUACCAGCCUGCUGUGAGGCCCCUUUGCCUGGGAAAGCAAUAAACCUGCCUCUUUACUUCUAAGCUCCAAGACCCUGUCUCUGGGUUAUUUGUCACGUCAGGGACGGGGGCCGAUCUUUUGGCAACAAAUUCAUGGCGCCCACAGGAGGCAUGAACCACCCUCUUUUCUAAGAGGGGCUUCAGGUUCCACCUCGCUGCCAGGCCAGCAAGGCUUGAACAACUGCCACUCCAGGCCGAUGGGAGGGACGGUGGAGAAUGGGGCCCAGUGGCUGCCAGGGCCUCUUUGCUCUGGGGAUCCUUACAUCCCUUGCCCUUCCACCCAUCAGCGGACCACAGUAGCCUAAACCGAUUUCUUGGAGGAAGAAAAGAUGGCUCUGUUUCUUCUGAAGUGUCGCAUCCGACCGGCAGGCCGAGGGUAAGUUCCCGGGGACGACCGAGGCCCCUUGAUCUCGCCUUGAGAGUUCUCUCAUUAGACAGACGGAGAUCUCUCGUUUGUAUUUGAAAUGGGUACCCAUUUGUAACAGAGGUCUCGGGCUGAGAGGACUUGGAAGUGAAAAUAUGUGUAAGUUUGGAAUUUGAAUUUGUUUUAGCCUGUCGUUUGUAAGGUUGUGUCUCCACUUACCCACAAAGGCCUGGU
Non-coding RNA from Vicugna pacos (alpaca), 1516 nucleotides. The record is from RefSeq and is a predicted model, not a curated record. Lineage: Eukaryota; Metazoa; Chordata; Mammalia; Artiodactyla; Camelidae.